GCUGGGCGUGGUGGCGCACAUCUGUAAUCCCAGCCACUCAGGAGGCUGAGAUAGGAGGAUCGAGAGUUCCAAGCCAGCCUCAGCAACAGCGAGAUGCUAAGCAACUCAGUGAGACCCUGUCUCUA
RNAcentral lists this small RNA (125 nucleotides) under Marmota monax (woodchuck). Lineage: Eukaryota; Metazoa; Chordata; Mammalia; Rodentia; Sciuridae. The record is from RNAcentral.